This 503-nucleotide ribosomal RNA is filed under the name uncultured bacterium. RNAcentral describes it as "bacterial SSU rRNA". It matches the Rfam family "Bacterial small subunit ribosomal RNA", at positions 791 to 1294 of the family's 1533-position model. The record is from RNAcentral.
UAGUCCACGCCGUAAACGAUGUCAACUAGCCGUUGGGAGGGUUAAACCUCAAAGUGGCGCAGCUAACGCGAUAAGUUGACCGCCUGGGGAGUACGCGCGCAAGCGUAAAACUCAAAGGAAUUGACAGGGGCCCGCACAAGCGGUGGAGCAUGUGGUUUAAUUCGAUGCAACGCGAAGAACCUUACCUGGCCUUGACAUCCUGAGAACUUUCUAGAGAUAGAUUGGUGCCUUCGGGAACUCAGUGACAGGUGCUGCAUGGCUGUCGUCAGCUCGUGUCGUGAGAUGUUGGGUUGAGUCCCGCAACGAGCGCAACCCUUGUCUUUAGUUGCCAUCAUUAAGUUGGGCACUUUAAAGAGACUGCCGGUGACAAACCGGAGGAAGGUAAGGAUGACGUCAAGUCAGCAUGCCCCUUAUGCUCUGGGCUACACACGUGCUACAAUGGCCGUGACAAAGAGUUGCUACUUUGUGAAAACAAGCUAAUCUCAUAAACGCGGCCUCAGUUC